This 464-nucleotide ribosomal RNA is filed under the name Vreelandella stevensii. RNAcentral describes it as "partial 16S ribosomal RNA". It matches the Rfam family "Bacterial small subunit ribosomal RNA", at positions 338 to 795 of the family's 1533-position model. The record is from RNAcentral. Lineage: Bacteria; Pseudomonadati; Pseudomonadota; Gammaproteobacteria; Oceanospirillales; Halomonadaceae.
CCUACGGGAGGCUGCAGUGGGGAAUAUUGGACAAUGGGCGAAAGCCUGAUCCAGCCAUGCCGCGUGUGUGAAGAAGGCCUUCGGGUUGUAAAGCACUUUCAGUGGGGAAGAAAGCCUUGGGGCUAAUACCCUCGAGGAAGGACAUCACCCACAGAAGAAGCACCGGCUAACUCCGUGCCAGCAGCCGCGGUAAUACGGGGGUGCGAGCGUUAAUCGGAAUUACUGGGCGUAAAGCGCGCGUAGGCGGUCUGAUAAGCCGGUUGUGAAAGCCCCGGGCUCAACCUGGGAACGGCAUCCGGAACUGUCAGGCUAGAGUGCAGGAGAGGAAGGUAGAAUUCCCGGUGUAGCGGUGAAAUGCGUAGAGAUCGGGAGGAAUACCAGUGGCGAAGGCGACCUUCUGGACUGACACUGACGCUGAGGUGCGAAAGCGUGGGUAGCAAACAGGAUUAGAUACCCUAGUAGUC